Molecule: non-coding RNA, 247 nt
Filed under: Marinobacterium stanieri
Lineage: Bacteria; Pseudomonadati; Pseudomonadota; Gammaproteobacteria; Oceanospirillales; Oceanospirillaceae
Source: RNAcentral
UUAUCCGCCCCAGCUUCCGGUGUGCUCUGCUCGCAUGUUCAAUCGCUUGAGCCCAGCACUUAAACGGGAAGUCGGUGCGCGGUCCUUCGCUUUUUGAAAUCCGCAAUCCCGACACUGCCCCCGCAACGGUAAAGGCGUGAGCCGAUAACAGAUGUCACUGUAUCCACGGAUAUGGGAAGGCGUUAUCGCUCAGGGUAUUCAACCCUGCCGCCUGAGUCCGGAGACCGGCCUGAAGCUUGGGAAGUUA